This 350-nucleotide ribosomal RNA is filed under the name uncultured bacterium. RNAcentral's name for it is "bacterial SSU rRNA". It matches the Rfam family "Bacterial small subunit ribosomal RNA", at positions 355 to 697 of the family's 1533-position model. The record is from RNAcentral.
UGGGGAAUAUUGGACAAUGGGGGCAACCCUGAUCCAGCAAUACCGCGUGUGUGAAGAAGGCCUUAGGGUUGUAAAGCACUUUCAAUUGGGAAGAAAAGCUAGGGGUUAAUAGCCUCUGGUCUUGACGGUACCUUUAGAAGAAGCACCGGCUAACUCCGUGCCAGCAGCCGCGGUAAUACGGAGGGUGCAAGCGUUAAUCGGAAUUACUGGGCGUAAAGCGCACGCAGGCGGUUUGUUAAGUCAGAUGUGAAAGCCCCGGGCUCAACCUGGGAACUGCAUUUGAUACUGGCGAACUAGAGUAUGAGAGAGAGAAGUGGAAUUCCACAUGUAGCGGUGAAAUGCGUAGAGAU